GUUGGGGGUCGGUGGUGAGCAAGCAGAGACUACAUAGGUUGCCUUGUAUCCCACUUCUGACACCAUGUAUUGUCAAC
Bos indicus x Bos taurus (hybrid cattle) is the source of this 77-nucleotide microRNA precursor. Lineage: Eukaryota; Metazoa; Chordata; Mammalia; Artiodactyla; Bovidae. The record is from Ensembl.